Molecule: ribosomal RNA, 327 nt
Filed under: uncultured archaeon
Lineage: Archaea
Description: bacterial SSU rRNA
Rfam family: Archaeal small subunit ribosomal RNA
Source: RNAcentral
CCCUACGGGGCGCAGCAGGCGCGAAGACUUUACAAUGCUGGAAACAGCGAUAAGGGGGCCUCGAGUGCCAGGUUACAAAUCUGGCUGUCGCGAUGCCUAAAAAGCAUUGCAUAGCAAGGGCCGGGCAAGACCGGUGCCAGCCGCCGCGGUAACACCGGCGGCUCGAGUGGUAACCGUUAUUAUUGGGUCUAAAGGGUCUGUAGCCGGCCGGAUAAGUCUCUUGGGAAAUCCAGCAGCUCAACUGUUGGGCUUUCAGGAGAUACUGUCUGGCUCGAGGCCGGGAGAGGUGAGAGGUACUUCAGGGGUAGGGGUGAAAUCUUGUAAUCC